GAAGAUAAGGUUCUUGAGAGAGGCGCAGGAACGAACUUUCUAAGUGCUUCUGUGGCUGGUUGUAUUAGUCAAGGGAGUGCUGUUCUCAUUAAACAAUCAAGCAUGGUCUUGAUGCCAUCACUUUCUCAGGAUGACUUAGUUCAAGCCCCUUCUCCUUUCUGUUCCUAAUUUUCCACAUAUACAAAAAUGGGCCAGAAGAAUCCACUAUAGUUCCUUCCUGGAAAGAAUGGGUUUGAAUAAGGACCCUCCCAGAGCUCUCUCCGGCUUUAUAUUUCUCCACCACCCUCCUCUUCCUUCCUUCCUUCCUCCCUCCCCUCUUUCUCAGCAGUUCUAGCUACAGCAUUUAACUAAAAAACCUUAAAGACCACUUCAAUUUCUUUUCUUUGGCCGUUGCUAUAAAAUGAUAUACUUCUGGUUUACUUCAAAUUAGAAAUAUAGAAAUUAUCUAGCCUCUACCCCCCUCCCCCGCCAAAAAAAAAAUGCCCUAGAAUAUUUUCAGGAGUAUUACUCGUAGUAGCUGUAGAUGAGCCCAUUCAAGGAUGCAUUUUAUAAGUUCCACUAUGGAAAUCAAAUGUUAGUAAUUCUUUUUUCUUUCACUUUUAUGAAGAUAUGAGCCUCCAAGCUUCAUUUAAAUUUCAAAGCUGAUGACACUUGAGAAACAGAUACCAAAAUCUUUUAAAGCUUUGUUCUUUUCAGCAAUCCAUAUGGUAUAAAACAUUCAACCUAAGACAAUGGAAGGAAAACUGGGACAAGUUCUGCAGAGUUGUAACGAAAAAUGGGAGCUGGGAAGGAAGAAACAGAAACAUUCUCACUUUGGCAGGGCAUGGAGAGGGAGUGAGUUCUCAAAUUACCAAUAUUAACAAAAACUUUACUUCAUUAAAAAAUCCAUGAGCCAUGUAUACCAUCAAUACGGUAUUUUCUACAAAAAAGGACACUGGCCGCAUUCUCUGUAAACACCAAUUUCCUAAAAUAUGAAGAAGUGCCCUCCUUCGUCUCUUCUGCUUUUGCAACAAAUUGUACCAUUUCCUCCAAACAAACUAAAUUUCCUGAGACCGUCUGCCUCUACAGUUUCUCCUGACAUCCUAAACUCUUCCAAACAGUGACUCAAGAGGAAGCUUUCAACUUGCCCUAUAGGCUUAAAUAGCUCUAAGGAGUUAAGCCUGGCCUCCUGUCUUACUCCUUCCCUCAUACACCCUGGGCACUGAAACUUAGCUCCUUGUUGUGAAAGCUCUUGGCAACGGAGGAGGCCCCAGAGAUCUGAGCAAUGUUCCACCUGAGAACAGAGAACCCUGGAAUCUGGUGGCAGACCUUGAAGACAUGCUCCUGAGGCGUGCAAAUCGGUUAUCACAUUUCCUUAUCACUUCCUUCUUUGAUUGUCGUAUUCUUAAUAUCUUAAUACUAAUUGCUCCCCUCUAUUCUUCUGGCCCACGUGAGUCUGGAAAGUUUUGAGGUGAUGGCCGAGCACACUUUUCUUUUAAAACCUAAAUUAGUUCAGAGCGCUGAGUUUCUGUUUUCUUUUCUCCGUCUUUCUGCAUGAUCUAGGUACUUUUUCCUCCCUCUCUUCUCUACUAGUUUAUUAAUUAUUCUCAAGGCUCUCUCUCUCUAGGGAAAACUGAACAAAAAUAGGAAAGGAAAGGCGACCAGGAGUCCACUUACCGUCUUCUGAACUACCAACAUCAUGAUGGUUGCCACAGCAAAGACAAGACACAGAGCCAGCGCCGUGGUGGUGAAGUAGAAAUAACCACGACUGGUGGUUCCCAGGUGGCUGGCCACGGAGCCCGCUGGCACAUGCAUGGCUGUGUCUCGAGAAGGGGCCACUCCGCUCACAUUUCCUUUCCACCCAGCGCAAAACUGAGGAUCAGAGAAUGUGAAAACUGUUUCGGCCAAAGUGGGAUAUGUCGAUCAAUGACGUCACCCCGAGCUGGGGCCUCCAGCUGUAGCUCUGAAAACUUCAUUCGGAAGUACCCAGUCCUCUGUAAGCGCCCGCCCUCCCCUGCCUUUCUGCUCAUUUUUGGUGGCACCGUAUCUCAGAAGGCCAGCAGGAACCCCAGCUCCUCCUAAGGAAAUGCCCUGUAUUCAAAGUCAAGCUUGGAUGAUUCUUCCUGCUGCAAAUGCAGUGGUCCCAGACAGAUGAACAUCACUGGAGUUGGGUCAGACUCUAGGGAUUGGUCUGAAUAUUCUUUUCCAGUGAAACCCUAAAAUCACAGAUCCUGGAGAAGGAAGAGCCAUCAAGAGGUAAAUUGCUUUCUUGCACUACCUAGAGUGGUAUGAAUUGUAACUGCAUCACGGUUAAGGGAGCUGACCACCUCCCCGCUCCGGACCCCAAGUCAGGCUUAGUUUUGGAAGCAGUGGGUGCACGGGUUCCUUUGGUCUGGUAGCUGAGGUGGGGCUGAAGUCAGCCAGUGUCCUCUGGGGUGUGUACCUAGCUGAUCUGGUGAGAAGGCUGUGGCCGGCGGUGGACAUGGACGAGAGAGUAGCGGGGUCUCUAUAACGGGCCCCACGCACUGAGAACAGAUUUGCUCCCUUGGCCUCUAUCUUCAGUCUCUUUGAUGAAAGUGGAAAACUUCUGAUUAUGGAAUGGAAGCUGUGGGUGUUGAUAAAACGGCUUUGCUUGAAGUGCAGGUCUUCCUGAAGGCCCGUGGGGCUGAGAAGGGCAGUGGAAAAAAAUGUUUGUCUUACAGUUACACGUUUUGCAUACAGUACAAUGUCCUGAGAGGGAAGGCUGACAAGGGGGAAAAAAAAUCACCCUUUGUUUUUACUCAGAACCUUCUGAGCAGUUGAGAUUUUCAGAUCCGUUUGCUUCUCCAGCAGCCCGUGGGCCCGAUCUGCUGUCCCCGUGCCUCUCCUCUACACGCAAGCCUGCAAGCUUCCUGGCAUCCCACCCCAGGGGUCUGAGCCCCCCUCGCUGCCCAGCUGCUCUGGGAUCCAGCCCAGCCCAUGGAGUGGUCCCAUCCUUUGUGCUUCCUGGCUGCUUUCUCUUUUUCAUUUGGUCACCUGAGAUACAAAUGGAAAGAGCUUUUACAGAGUUUCUUGUUGAGUGACUUUCAAAUCCCUUCUGGAAGCGAAACUGUGCAGUGAGUGCAGACACAUAAGAAAGUGGAGUUUUCUGGUUGAAGCAGAGGCAGGGCGACGAAGAGGCAGGCUGGGCCCAGCAUGUUCAUACACCUUUUAGUGGCCUGGGGUCUCUCCAGGCUGGAACAGAACUUGCAAACUUGCGAGUUAGCUCAAAACCCAUAUUCCUCAAAUCAGGAAACUGAGGCAGAGAAAUGGGGGUAAAGUCAUGCUUAGGAGCCCCCUGUGCUCUCUCUUACCCCUCAGGCACAGCCUUGCUUCCUGCCACACUGACCUCACCCUUCCACUGCCUCAGAGCCUUCCUGCCCCUGCCGCCUGCUUCCGUCUCCCGGGGAGGCCUGCUCAGGGCUCUCAAGCCCACCACUGUCCUUUCUCCAGAAAAGUCCAUGGUCAUGCACACACUAUUGUAUCCUAUUAACUACUUGUUCUGACCUCUGUCAAGUGUGCGAAUACGGUGUGCCUUUUGCCCUCCCCGUUAGACUAAGAGCUCCUGAGGGCAGCCUUCCUUGCCUCCUACCCUGCAGUAUUUGCUGUGGGAUCCAUGUAUAAUUAGCCUUCAGUCAAUGCUUGUAUUGACUUUGUGUUUAUGGAAAGAGAAGGUUCUAGAAGGUUGGUUUAUACAAAGGAGUUGCCUGAUGGUGUAUUUGUCUCUCACUUCUCAACGAUCCCCGGUUUCCCUGUCCUUCUCUAGAACUUACCUGGCUACCCAUUGGCCUUUAUGUUCUAGCAUGACCCUGCAAAAGUCACCACUAGCCUCCUUUCAACCUGUAGUCAGCUGAGGUGUGACUGUAGCAUCUGAGACUCGGUGAGCAAACAGGUCUAAUAUCUCACCCCUUUGGGAGGGAACAGCAUUUUGGAAAAAAUGAAGAGGAACCAGCUGUAGGACUGUCCCCCACUGUCCAGCCAUUGCUUCCCUGUGUAGAGGACUGUGAGGUCUCUAUCGUGGACCAAAAUUGUCGUCCCUGGGCCAGCACUAACAGAAUUUGGUAGCCCUGCAAAUUCUUCGGCUCCACCCUAGGAUCUACUUGAUCAGAAACUCACGCUGGGGUCUAGCAAUCUCUGUUUUAACAAGUGCCUCAGGGAACUACAAUUCCUGAAACCAUUUGGAAAUCAUCGGUUUAGGAAAAUAAUCUGUCUAAAUCCCAGAAAGGGUCAAGGGGGGGGGUGCAUCUUGUCCAGGCUGUGGCCCUUUGGGCAGGUGAAGUCUUAACCCCACUGUGUAGAUGAGAAAACUGAGGCAUAGCACUGUAGCGAUCAGGAUGCUGGAGAUUGUUGGAAGGAAGCUUUGUUUUUUUUGUCUCUUGUUUGGGCCCACUUUCUAAACCCCAAUAUGGCUGUAGGCUGAAAAGCGCUAUUGUAGAUGAAGAUAUAUUUAUAAUAUAUAUCUGAAGUUCUCUUGUGGUGAACACUGUGGUAGAAACAAAUAUUUUUUUAAAAAAUUUUUGGUGUAUGUGAGAGAAGGGGGAACUCCUGCAGGGUAUUUUCAAGCAAUAAAAGAUGUAGGAUGGAUCUCGUCCCAUUAACUGGAGAGCCCUCUGUUUUGCAAAGUCUGAUUUGAUAGAUUGGACAUUGGAGUUGGUCAGGAUGACACUGAACUUAGGAUCUAUUGGCUACAGGUACAGUGGACAUGGAAGGGUUAGGGUUACAGUCAUGGGCCAGAUCAGCCCACCACCUACUUUAUGAAUAAAGUUUUAUUGAAACAGGGUCAUGCUCAUUUGUUUAUGCAGAUUAUAGCUAUGUUUGUAUUACAAUGCAGCGUUGAAUAGUUAUAGUUGCAACCCAGACAGAUCUCAUGGCCCACAAAAUCUAAAAUAUUACUAUUUAGCCCUUUGCCAGAAAAGUUUUCUGACCCCUGAUUUAAAGUAUCGAAAUAAACUCAAUUCAAGGCAGGAUUACAAAAGAAGGGAUUUGGAGAAAAGAAUAGAAAUGCGUUUUUCUGAGAUUCCUCCAUAAAAUCUGCACUUAUAUUUUCAUCACUAACUCACGUUUUCAGAAGAGAACUUCCUUUCCUGGGAUUCACUAAUUGGGAAGGAGCUAGAUACCCUCAUUUGUGUGUGACCACAUAGACUACUGGAGAGGCCCCAGGCGCUGAGAGAGAGGCUGGCAGAAGAGAUCUGGGAAAUAUGUAGACAGAUAGACUUUCAGCAUUGGGAAUAUGUGUGUGUGUUCAUAAAUUAAUACAUAAUAGACAUAUAUAUGAAUCUAUACAUUACAUGCACAGGCACACACACAUGUUAUUCCUACCUACUUUAAAGAGGCAUUGAGACCACUUAAAAUAAAUGCACACGUAUAUUGGAACUCAAGCCAUUAAGACAAGGCACCAGGUAGGAGCCACGAUGUAAAGGGAGAGGUUAAGGAUUAAGAGAGGGGACACACCCUGGCAGAGGACUGUGUUCAGCGGUUAUGUACAGCAUGUAUGCUUCUGAGAUUCUUGGUAAUCAGGGCAAAGAAGAAAACAUGCUGGGUUGCAUAGCUCUCUUUGAUGGUAAAGAGCAGAUGAGUUCAAAAGGAGAAAUGGACCCUUUGCUGUUUGUACAGGUGCUUUGAAAUACAUAGCAUUUUAUGAAAUGGCUGAUGGUAAUCUAUGAAUUUAAAGCAUGGCAUGGCAAUGAAUCAGGAUAAGAACUGAUGUGAACAAGUGAAAAUCCUGGAAUAUUUAAAAAGAAAUAUAAUCUUGUGAUGUUCAGUGAUGCAGAAUUAAAGAUGACCAGACGCUAGGGUGGUGGAGGAGUCAGGACCAAAAGGGGAAAAAAGAAAAAAAAAAAUAAAGAG
This is a long non-coding RNA of Mustela lutreola (European mink), 5844 nucleotides long. RefSeq lists it as uncharacterized. Lineage: Eukaryota; Metazoa; Chordata; Mammalia; Carnivora; Mustelidae. The record is from RefSeq and is a predicted model, not a curated record. The transcript is spliced from 4 exons.